AUCACAAUCAAUCCCUACUCAAUUUCCUAAAUCAGCUAAUUAACAGAGUAAAACGAGAAAAUUAGAAAAGGGGAAUUUAGGGUUACAUGUGAUGUAACGCUUGAACUUCAUCUCUCUUCUUCUCCCAUGGCCGCGGCGAAUGGCUCAACCUUCUCCGAAUCUCCAGGCGACCGUCGCUCCCUCCGUCUCCUCUCAAAUUCUUAAGUCUUCGUCUCAAUCGACCAUCUCUUCAUUCACUCUCUUCCCUCGCUUCUGAUUCAAAUUGACCGGUCUGGUGCUUCUCUGAUCUCGAAGGUGAAGACAUCGAAAUUAAGCGUAACGAACACAGGUGAAGAAACGGAGAUGAAAUGAAGACGUAGUAAUUUCUUAAUACAGAGAAGUCACAGAUUCAAUUGUGGAGAUCGAUACUGAAGGAUGCAUAAGCAAAGAAGCCUUGUUGAGGGUUGUUGCGUGGAGUUUGUUUGCAAAAGUCUCGAAGAUUGAAUCAUUUAGAGAUUCGGUUACACAGAUGAACAAUGUGAAAUUAACCUCUGAUGAAUUGGUUUUCUGCAGAUUUUCAAAUGAGGAAGUCAAAAGAAGAGUUAUUGAGGAUUGGUGAUAAAUUAGAUUGAAGAUGAAGGUAACGUUUGAUGAAGAUUUGCGGAUAUCUUCCUAUGGUGAUUGAAGAGUGUGAAGGUUUUCGGAUAUUGAAGAAUGUGGAAGAUUGAACAACGAUGAUGAUGAAGGUGUUGAAGUUCUGGUUAUGGUGAUUGAAUUGGAGUAUGAUGAAGAUGAAUGGAGAGAGUAUGGAGAAGAUGAAGAAGCCUGAAUGGAGGAGAGUUUGUUACAAAGUUUGUUAGGAUUUUCGGUUCUCAAUUUCUUUUUUUUCAUUUUCUGCUAGAAUCUUUCUGUUAUAUUCUUCUGAUCAUUUCUCUCCCUUUUUUAUUCUGAUUUCUUUUCUCCUUCUUCUGUUAUAUUGGUUCUGAAUCCUCGUUAUGUCGUAGCAGUGUUACGGAGAACCGGUUUUUUUGGGAGAAGUUGCAGCUCGGAGCACCUUGUAUGGACCAGUUCAUCUUGAAUGCAGGGGCGUUUUUUUUUAAUUUUGGAAUUGUGUUGUAGGCAACUUUUUCUUGUAUGUGGUACAUGCUUUUGGAGCAAGUAAUCCGAUCUUUUAUGAUCCGUGAAGGAAACAUGGUGUAUUGUAAUAUUGCUGCAAGUUUUGAAUUUUGUAAUGAUAGGUUGUAAAGAAAUUUGAACAUUGAAUGGACUUGGACUUUGGUAAUGAAUGGACUAUUCUUGAA
Molecule: long non-coding RNA, 1280 nt
Organism: Vicia villosa (hairy vetch)
Lineage: Eukaryota; Viridiplantae; Streptophyta; Magnoliopsida; Fabales; Fabaceae
Exons: 2
Source: RefSeq, a predicted model, not a curated record